RNAcentral lists this long non-coding RNA (2022 nucleotides) under Phoenix dactylifera (date palm). RNAcentral's name for it is "long non-coding RNA (PDAC_LNC013520)". Lineage: Eukaryota; Viridiplantae; Streptophyta; Magnoliopsida; Arecales; Arecaceae. The record is from RNAcentral.
AUCCCUCUGCAAUGCGAUCUGCCACCAGAACACCAUGCUAGAAAAUAUUUGAUGGCCCUUUCAAGGUUUUGAAGUUCAUCAAUGACAAUGUGUACAAAAUUGAACUUUCUAAAGAAUAUGGAGUAUCUGCAACAUUCAACAUAGCUGACCUAUUGUCUUAUUUUGAAGACCAGGAAGAUCAAAAUGACCUAGACUCUAUGAUGAGUCUUCUCCAACUGGGCUCACUUGCUAGAUAAGUGGGGUUGAGCUAAAACCGUUCGUGAGAUUGGAUUGCACGGGUUGUGGGACUGUGCAAGGCGCACGUGCCCGCCACAUGGGUCGUGGGUUCCGUAUGCAUGGGUCUCAAAAUCCACAUUGAGUUAUGUUUUGCUAGAAAUAUUAGUUAAUUAUGGGGAGUUUUGAUUUUUGUGAACUUUCUUUUUGAGAACUUCUGAUAUUAUUAGGAAAGUUGGAAGUUAGGGUUCUGCGAGUUUAAAUAGAAUUUGGAAUUCUAUAUUGAAAAGUUGAAGAAAUGAGUCUCCUUGUACAACUUAUAAAUACUUCCAUUGAGGCUUCUCUUGCAAUCAUGCUAGAGAAACUUGAGUUAUUGAUUAGUAAGAAUUAUUCUUGCCUUAUCUCUGUUCUCUCUCUCCUCUCUUUUGGUGGAUUUUUAGGAUUUGUGAGUGAGCAUGUGAGAGUUGUAUCCUUAGAGUGGCAAGCCAAGGUGAUAUUUUUUAGCCUUGGAAGAGAGUGACCCGCCCUGCUCCUUUUUCAACUACUAUUCGUCCGUUCUAAUACCUUACGUUGUACGUGCUAUAGUGAGGUUUCUACCUUGCCACAAUCGGUUGCAUCAAUAUAUCUUUCCUUCUUCGUGUUUUCAACCUAAGUUCAACACCUUCCAGCAUCAACAUCUUAAUUUAAAUUUUGUUUUACUUUUGAAUUUAUACAAUUAUGUAAUCAAACGCAAAAGGUACACUCUAGUGCAAUUUCCACGUGCAAUACAAUCAUGAUAUAGAUAAUCUAGAGUAUGGAGGAUAAAAUUAUUGGCAGUAGUUAUGUAGUUGUCAACAACACACCUAAGAUAUGCGGGAAACAAUUGACUAUACCAUAGUUUGUCGUCUUGGUAUCGAACCCCGUAUCGGUACCAUCUUAUUAUAGUGCCAGUACUCUCAAUAUGGUAUUCAGUUCGGCAUAUCGAGUGUCGGUAUGCCCUUUGUACCGUAUAGCGGUUCGGUAUUGAUACGAUAUGUCAGUAUAUACCGGUACCAACCGGUACGUUCACACUUAUGCUUGUUAUGAUCCAUUAUAUAUUUUUAUAAUUAGCUUAAUGUGGAAAUACAGAUCCUCUUUUCUUCUCUUUUGUACUGUUUUUAGCCUUUAUAGAAUUGCAUAUCCAGGUGUAUGUCAUCAACAUUGCUGAAGGUUGCUAGAGAACAUUCUUUGGUUGUUGCAAUCGUUGGCAAAGGGCAUUUGUCUGGGAUAAAGCAGCACUGGAAGCAGCCUAUUGAGGUUAGAACCAUUUUUGUAAUGGAUAUUCGUGCUGAUUUGUUUGUGAAUUUGAUUCAUAAUAUUGCUAGAAUGGUUGCCACGAGAGAUUCUAGCUUUUCAUGAAAGGUAGGUUGAGUCUGGAGAGCUCUAUCGUUGCUGAACUGUCUCAAGAUAUGUGAAAGCUAUAAUGAGAUCACAUUCUGUGUGUAAUGCAUGUUAGCAGUAUUUUUAGUUUGAUAAUAUUUUUUAUAUUUUAGAAAGCAUUAUGAAAUUACUAAAGUCCUUAAAGAUCGUUACUGAAAACAUAUUAUUGCCAAGUAGUGGUGAUCUUGUAGUUCAAAAGAUACAUUUACUUCAAUUUUCUACUCGGAGAAUCCAUUCUAGGAGGUUGUAUUGGUAACUAGUGUUGGUUUUUUUCAGUUCAGGUUGAUUUUUUCGGAACGUGUGGAAUAGGCAACAAUUGGUUGUCAUCUCUCAUAAAUCAAUAACUUCAUUGUUAGGCAUUGUCUGCAUGCUAUAUCAUUAGGCAUUGUCUGCAUGGUAAUUGAUUCUAUU